ACGCGCCCCGUCGCCAUCGGAGGCGCAGAACUGCAGAAGGGGCGUAGGAGCGGAGCAUGGAUGGGAGCGGCGGAAAGGAAGAAGAGCACGUGGAUAUGUAGCCACGAUGAGGAGGUGCUAUGUGCGAUCGGGAAAUACUAUUCCGUCGACACCGGCGCCGUCUUCUCGCUCGUCCCCGUGAGCGCCGCAUCCAAUGCCAAGGGAAUGCCCCGAUGACGCCUCAUUCGUCUCGGCAGCUGGGAGAUGCAACCGGCGUGCGGCCUCCUUCAGGGUGAUUAUGCCAUGAAGAUUUAGUCGAUCAGAAUGAUUAGAUGUGCAAGCACUAUGCAAGAAACAAUGGACGUGGAUGCUUAAGAAGCCCAAAGAGGUGGAUAAACACUUCAAGUUGUUAUCGACCUCGAAAGGAUGAUACAGUCCAGAUGACCAGGCAAGGAUUGGCUAAAGAAGUAACGGUGAAUAACUCAAUAGAUCUUCAAUACCUGACACAGGAAUAACAUGAGGAAGGCUUUUAUCUGUCUUGUCUUUUGGCUAGUCUAGUACAUCAUUCUACUGACACUAGCUUGCUUGUUUUGUAACAUAUUUUCAAGGUGAUUGUAAAAGUGGAGCACAGUUUUGCUGUUACUGAACAUUGUGA
Molecule: long non-coding RNA, 634 nt
Filed under: Setaria viridis
Lineage: Eukaryota; Viridiplantae; Streptophyta; Magnoliopsida; Poales; Poaceae
Description: long non-coding RNA (SVIR_LNC008593)
Source: RNAcentral